Molecule: non-coding RNA, 72 nt
Organism: Ictidomys tridecemlineatus (thirteen-lined ground squirrel)
Lineage: Eukaryota; Metazoa; Chordata; Mammalia; Rodentia; Sciuridae
Source: Rfam
GGGGGUGUAGCUCAGUGGUAGAGCACUUGCCUAGCAUAUAUGAAGCACUGGGUUCAAUUCUCAGUACCACAU